Molecule: non-coding RNA, 75 nt
Organism: Phrynosoma platyrhinos (Desert horned lizard)
Lineage: Eukaryota; Metazoa; Chordata; Lepidosauria; Squamata; Phrynosomatidae
Source: the annotation of a GenBank genome assembly
GGCAGAAGUGUAGCGUAGUGGUUUGAGCAUUGAACUGUGACUCUGGAGACCAGGGUUAGAAUCCCAGUUUGGCCA